This 449-nucleotide ribosomal RNA is filed under the name Sanguibacter sp. NR5. Its description in RNAcentral is "bacterial SSU rRNA". It matches the Rfam family "Bacterial small subunit ribosomal RNA", at positions 28 to 488 of the family's 1533-position model. The record is from RNAcentral. Lineage: Bacteria; Bacillati; Actinomycetota; Actinomycetes; Micrococcales; Sanguibacteraceae.
GACGAACGCUGGCGGCGUGCUUAACACAUGCAAGUCGAACGGUGACAUCAGAGCUUGCUCUGGUUGAUCAGUGGCGAACGGGUGAGUAACACGUGAGUAACCUGCCCUUGACUCUGGGAUAACUCCGGGAAACCGGGGCUAAUACCGGAUACGAGACGCGACCGCAUGGUCGGCGUCUGGAAAGUUUUUCGGUCAAGGAUGGACUCGCGGCCUAUCAGCUUGUUGGUGAGGUAAUGGCUCACCAAGGCGUCGACGGGUAGCCGGCCUGAGAGGGCGACCGGCCACACUGGGACUGAGACACGGCCCAGACUCCUACGGGAGGCAGCAGUGGGGAAUAUUGCACAAUGGGCGAAAGCCUGAUGCAGCGACGCCGCGUGAGGGAUGAAGGCCUUCGGGUUGUAAACCUCUUUCAGUAGGGAAGAAGCGAAAGUGACGGUACCUGCAGAAGA